UGAAUUUUUACACUCUUGUGAAAUAGGCCCCCAUGUAUCUCCUAGCGGCGAUACGAUAAUACGGGGCCCGUAGGGUAACCACGCAUGACACACCCCUCCCUCACAUGAAAGAGAUGAAAGAGAGGAGAAGAGGACAGAAUCGACUCCAUAAGUCCAAUUUUCGACCGCUAGCCUCACAGGUUGCUGCCCAGCCAACCUACCGGUUGGGUGUUUUUGAGUAUGAAUAUCCCCUGUUUUGGAUGAAUUGUACCUUGCCCCUUGUGGGUUAUGUUCCUUACCUUUUUACUUGAAUUUGACCUUAUGGGUAGGUGUAUCUUGGGGACAUUUUCAAGGCUUUAAUUGGGGAAGCAUAUGGAUUGUUUAGGGUGUAUAGGUUCAGUAUAGGGAGUUAUACUGAAUUAUAUAUAUAAUGUAAUGAUACACCUAUGGUAUAGGAACCUAAAUUACCGGCGAGGAUAUGUGGUGGCGGGAAUUCAGCGGUAACGAUUGGAUUUUGGGUUUUGAGAUGGUGGAACUGGUGCUGAGGCUGGAUUGGACUUUGGCAGUGGUUGUGAGGUUUGUGUCGACGAGACACCGGGUUGAUGAUGGACUUCACUAUUGUUACUCAAUCAUUUCUUUUGAUAUAUAUAAUGAUGAUAUAUGUAAGAUGUAAUUAUUAUACAUGUGGGUUGUUAACAAAUGGAUCGUGUAUAUUUGUAAAUUUAUCAAUUUAGUAUUCCACAAGUGAUAUUUGUA
Long non-coding RNA from Macadamia integrifolia, 735 nucleotides. RefSeq lists it as uncharacterized. The record is from RefSeq and is a predicted model, not a curated record. The transcript has 2 exons. NCBI's taxonomy places the organism in Eukaryota, Viridiplantae, Streptophyta, Magnoliopsida, Proteales, Proteaceae.